Molecule: unclassified non-coding RNA, 201 nt
Filed under: Hevea brasiliensis (rubber tree)
Lineage: Eukaryota; Viridiplantae; Streptophyta; Magnoliopsida; Malpighiales; Euphorbiaceae
Source: RNAcentral
GAUUUGUAAUGGUAAGACUAGGUGAGGCUUAAUAAGCCCCCUAAUACACUGCUUUUAAGUGAAAGUCUUGCUUUUAAGUGGAAGUCUUAAAGAGUCUCUGUAUGAGUUGGGCAUAUUGGAUAUGAAGAAUCACUGGUAACAAGUCCAUCUUAUAUGGAAUGUUUUUAAUGUGAAAGCUCAUUUGGAUGAUGCAUUGCAUAU